GACGAACGCUGGCGGCGUGCUUAACACAUGCAAGUCGAACGGAAAGGCCCUGCUUUUGUGGGGUGCUCGAGUGGCGAACGGGUGAGUAACACGUGAGUAACCUGCCCUUGACUUUGGGAUAACUUCAGGAAACUGGGGCUAAUACCGGAUAGGAGCUCCUGCUGCAUGGUGGGGGUUGGAAAGUUUCGGCGGUUGGGGCUGGACUCGCGGCUUAUCAGCUUGUUGGUGGGGUAGUGGCUUACCAAGGCUUUGACGGGUAGCCGGCCUGAGAGGGUGACCGGCGACAUUGGGACUGAGAUACGGCCCAGACUCCUACGGGAGACAGCGGUGGGGAAUAUUGCACAAUGGGCGGAAGCCUGAUGCAGCAACGCCGCGUGCGGGAUGACGGCCUUCGGGUUGUAAACCGCUUUCGCCUGUGACGAAGCGUGAGUGACGGUAAUGGGUGAAGAAGCACCGGCUAACUACGUG
RNAcentral lists this ribosomal RNA (468 nucleotides) under uncultured bacterium. RNAcentral describes it as "partial 16S ribosomal RNA". It matches the Rfam family "Bacterial small subunit ribosomal RNA", at positions 28 to 507 of the family's 1533-position model. The record is from RNAcentral.